Molecule: ribosomal RNA, 42 nt
Filed under: Aspergillus flavus
Lineage: Eukaryota; Fungi; Ascomycota; Eurotiomycetes; Eurotiales; Aspergillaceae
Description: partial 18S ribosomal RNA
Source: RNAcentral
GGUGACUGCGGAAGGAUCAUUACCGAGUGUAGGGUUCCUAGC